RNAcentral lists this ribosomal RNA (253 nucleotides) under uncultured bacterium. RNAcentral's name for it is "partial 16S ribosomal RNA". It matches the Rfam family "Bacterial small subunit ribosomal RNA", at positions 524 to 776 of the family's 1533-position model. The record is from RNAcentral.
UACGUAGGGGGCGAGCGUUGUCCGGAAUCAUUGGGCGUAAAGCGCGUGUAGGCGGUUCGGUAAGUCUGCUGUGAAAGUCCAGGGCUCAACCCUGGGAUGCCGGUGGAUACUGCUGAACUAGAGUGCGGAAGAGGUGAGUGGAAUUCCCGGUGUAGCGGUGAAAUGCGCAGAUAUCGGGAGGAACACCAAUUGCGAAGGCAGCUCGCUGGGACGUUACUGACGCUGAGACGCGAAAGCGUGGGGAGCAAACAGG